AGGACCCCAGGAUACCUGGAAAGUUGCUCCAGCCUCCCAGGAAAACCUCCAAAGGAAAAAGUUGCCUGAGACAUUUAUGCCUCCAGCACCAAUAAUUACAGCUCCACUUAUGAGCCUUGGCCCUGAGCCACAACAGGCCCUGCUGCCACAGUCCCUAGUCUCCGGUGCAAGCCUGCCUCCUCCUGGAGCCCCGAGAGAAUGCAGCCUGCAGAAAACAAAAAGGAAGCUGGAUGAGGCAGCCCACCGUCUAGAAUGUCUAUACGAGAAGCUGUGCGAGGGGACACUCUCACCCCAUGUCCUGGCUGGGCUCCAU
This 313-nucleotide long non-coding RNA is filed under the name Rattus norvegicus (Norway rat). Its description in RNAcentral is "long non-coding RNA NONRATT003821". The record is from RNAcentral. Lineage: Eukaryota; Metazoa; Chordata; Mammalia; Rodentia; Muridae.